ACGGAGGGUGCAAGCGUUGCUCGGAAUUAUUGGGCGUAAAGGGUAGGUAGGUGGUCUCAUUUGUCUGGGGUGAAAGCCUUGAGCUUAACUCAAGAAGUGCCCCAGAAACGGUGAGACUGGAGUCCUGGAGAGGGUCGUGGAGUUCCCGGUGUAGCGGUGAAAUGCGUAGAGAUCGGGAGGAACACCAGAGGCGAAAGCGGCGACCUGGACAGGUACUGACACUCAACUACGAAAGCGUGGGGAGCAAACAGGA
This 253-nucleotide ribosomal RNA is filed under the name uncultured prokaryote. Its description in RNAcentral is "partial 16S ribosomal RNA". It matches the Rfam family "Bacterial small subunit ribosomal RNA", at positions 525 to 777 of the family's 1533-position model. The record is from RNAcentral.